Molecule: long non-coding RNA, 308 nt
Filed under: Elaeis guineensis (African oil palm)
Lineage: Eukaryota; Viridiplantae; Streptophyta; Magnoliopsida; Arecales; Arecaceae
Description: long non-coding RNA (EGUI_LNC028329)
Source: RNAcentral
GAUUGACCAAGACCAAGCCCGCGCCUGCGCCUGACAUGUUGGAAGAACCGUUCAUGUAGAGGGCCCAAAAACCAUCAGGAAGAUCUGUUCUUUCUUCAGGGGAGUUCGGCUGGAGCCCUGGGCUGUCGGCUUCAUCUCGUCCAAGUUCGGCCUCUUCCGGGAUAGUGCAUUCCACCAUGAAGUCUACUAAUAUCUGGGCUUUUAUUAUCGACCGAGGUCGAUAGUCGAUGUCGAACUCCGUGAGCUCGACUGCCCACUUCGCUAUCCUCUCAGAGGCGUCUGCUCGAUGCAAAACCGCCUUGAUCGGC